RNAcentral lists this long non-coding RNA (866 nucleotides) under Corvus moneduloides (New Caledonian crow). RNAcentral describes it as "lncRNA (ENSCMUG00000019312.1)". Lineage: Eukaryota; Metazoa; Chordata; Aves; Passeriformes; Corvidae. The record is from RNAcentral.
UGUAGAAAAUUAGUUCGUUUUUGCCUUUUUUUUUCUUUUCUUUUUUUUUUCCCUUGAGCCUAUAUUUUGCUUGGUGAUUUACGAGAAAAAGAAAACGAACAAAAAAAAAACAACAAAAAAAAUGAACAAAAAAACCCUAAAAUCCUUUAGAAAAGAGAAAAAAAAAUACACGAGUCUUAAAAGUUUGUAUGUAAUAGCAUGCAAAUAAUAUCCGAGUUAAUUUAACGAUGUUGGGAAGAAGCCGAAUGCACUAUAUACAGGAAUCGAUUGGGUGAAAUAAUACUGUUUUAUAGAGAUUUAAAAUUAUCUAUGCUCUUAAAAAUAGUGGGGAGGGGAGGGAGGGGAAGAGGUAACAAUUUUAGGGUGACCUGAAAGGCAAUAUAGUAAUAUAUGGACUGCAAACGGUUGGCUGCUAUCUCACUAUGCACCAGAUUUAUUUAUUAACCCUCGGGAAACGGAAAAAUCUUAUUUUAACCUCGAUGUUUGGAAAAAAAAAAAAAAAGGACGGCAAGAAAAUGCACAUUAUUUGUUGUGGAAACAAGAGGAAAAAAAAAGAGGAUUAAGAAUUCGUGCAAUCGUUGGAGCGAAAGCGGGACCGAUCCUGCGCGGAGGAGCGGGGCGGCCGGGUUCUGGGUGGUUUUGGUUUUCUUUCCCGGCUGGAGGGUCCUGGAGACCUUCGUCCCUGCAGCUGCUGAAAAGUCACCGGAUCCAGUUUGGUCCCAGCUUGUCCGACACCGUCCUGACGAGCCGCUGGCUUGAUUUUCAACGGCUCAGCCGUGGCAGGUCCCCAGGCUGUGGCGUGUUCCCUCCUGCCGCUUCCAUAAGUCUCCACCGUGCUCAUGUAACCCCCCGGCUUCUCCUGGGAU